This 114-nucleotide ribosomal RNA is filed under the name Notamacropus eugenii (tammar wallaby). Lineage: Eukaryota; Metazoa; Chordata; Mammalia; Diprotodontia; Macropodidae. The record is from RNAcentral.
AACAUCUGACCCACUGAAUGCAAUCAGUCUCAUUGAACCCCAGAGGCUAAUCAGGGCUGGACUUGGUUAAUACUUGGAUAGAAGACUACGGGGACACACAAGAUGGGAAUGUUU